UGCCUUCUCCAUUUUUCUUGUGAUUCAUGUUUGAGUUUUUUCUUCGCUCCAUCACAUUCUUUUAGAGUCUUUAGUUUAUUCUGCUCCUCUGCAUUCUGCUUGUUGCAUAGGUGGGAGAGAUGGGAUCCAUUAUUCGUCGUCUCAGCUUUGGAUAUCACAGCAUGCCUUGAAGAGCAGAUAAUAAGUUGUAACCAAAUUGAUAGUGAAGAUGCUGAUAAUAUAAAUCAAGAUGAAUCAGUUGUUGCAAUGAUUGAAGAGCCAAACUCAGAUCUACUAUCAAGCGGUCAUUGAGAAUAAGGUAAAAAUGAAGUGUACGUAUCUGGAAAAUAAGGAGUCACAACUAUUGUUGUUGGCACAGAACUACCGAUGACACCAGUUCUUUUGCAGCCAUGGCGUGGUUUCCCUCUCUUGUCCUUAUUUGGGCCAUUUGGAGUCGAGUACUCGUGGCAAGAACG
Non-coding RNA from Nicotiana tabacum (common tobacco), 455 nucleotides. The record is from RefSeq and is a predicted model, not a curated record. NCBI's taxonomy places the organism in Eukaryota, Viridiplantae, Streptophyta, Magnoliopsida, Solanales, Solanaceae.